This 253-nucleotide ribosomal RNA is filed under the name uncultured bacterium. Its description in RNAcentral is "partial 16S ribosomal RNA". It matches the Rfam family "Bacterial small subunit ribosomal RNA", at positions 524 to 776 of the family's 1533-position model. The record is from RNAcentral.
UACGUAGGGUGCGAGCGUUGCCCGGAUUUAUUGGGCGUAAAGGGCGCGUAGGCGGCCACGCACGUCCGUUGUGAAAUCGCCCGGCUCAACUGGGCGGGGUCAGCGGAUACGGUGUGGCUCGAGCAAGCUAGGGGGCAAUGGAACUCCCGGUGUAGUGGUGGAAUGCGUAGAUAUCGGGAAGAACACCAGUGGCGAAGGCGGUUGCCUGGAGCUUUGCUGACGCUGAUGCGCGAAAGCGUGGGGAGCAAACAGG